Molecule: transfer RNA, 58 nt
Filed under: Dipodomys ordii (Ord's kangaroo rat)
Lineage: Eukaryota; Metazoa; Chordata; Mammalia; Rodentia; Heteromyidae
Rfam family: tRNA
About the family: Transfer RNA (tRNA) molecules are approximately 80 nucleotides in length. Their secondary structure includes four short double-helical elements and three loops (D, anti-codon, and T loops). Further hydrogen bonds mediate the characteristic L-shaped molecular structure. tRNAs have two regions of fundamental functional importance: the anti-codon, which is responsible for specific mRNA codon recognition, and the 3' end, to which the tRNAs corresponding amino acid is attached (by aminoacyl-tRNA synthetases). tRNAs cope with the degeneracy of the genetic code in two manners: having more than one tRNA (with a specific anti-codon) for a particular amino acid; and 'wobble' base-pairing, i.e. permitting non-standard base-pairing at the 3rd anti-codon position.
Source: Rfam by way of RNAcentral
UGGCUCAGUGGUAGAGUGCUUGCCUUGCAUGCAUGAGACCCUGGGUUCGAGUUCUCAG